RNAcentral lists this ribosomal RNA (465 nucleotides) under uncultured bacterium. RNAcentral describes it as "partial 16S ribosomal RNA". It matches the Rfam family "Bacterial small subunit ribosomal RNA", at positions 28 to 507 of the family's 1533-position model. The record is from RNAcentral.
GACGAACGCUGGCGGCGUGCUUAACACAUGCAAGUCGAACGGAAAGGCCCCUUUGGGGGUACUCGAGUGGCGCACGGGUGAGUAACACGUGCGUAACCUGCCCUUGCCUUCGGGAUAACUACAGGAAACUGGGGCUAAUACCGGAUAGGAAUCCUUGCUGCAUGGAGGGGGUUGGAAAGCUUCGGCGGUUUUGGGUGGACUCUCGGCUUAUCAGCUUGCUGGUGGGGUAAUGGUUUACAAAAGCUUUGACGCGAAGCCGCACAGAGAGAGCGACCGGCGACGCUGGGACUGAUGUACGGCCCAGACUCCUACGAGAGGAAGCAGUGGGAAAUAUUGAACCAGGCACGGAAGCCGGAUGCAGCAGCGCCGCGUGCGGGAUAACUGUCUUAGGAUUGGAAACCGAAUUCGGCAGGGGCGAAGCAUGUAGUGACGGUACCUGAGGAAAAAGCACCGGCUAACUACGUG